RNAcentral lists this unclassified non-coding RNA (281 nucleotides) under Hevea brasiliensis (rubber tree). The record is from RNAcentral. Lineage: Eukaryota; Viridiplantae; Streptophyta; Magnoliopsida; Malpighiales; Euphorbiaceae.
AUUUUCACCUUUCCAAACCCUAAUUCAAAUUCAUGGUUUAUGCCAUGUAUCUUAGUAGCUACCAAUGCAUUGCUCAUAUGUUUAUUACUUAAACAUGGUUUCUAUUCCACUCUAAGCUCAUUAAAACACUUCCCCUUAUUCCAUAGCUAGGGCAGCCCAAAAUUCAAGAUGUUAUACACAUAAGUUUUUGUUAAUUUAAAUCACAAUUCUUACUAGUUUCAAGUCCUAAACCAUGAAAAUAAAGAGUUUAAUGGAUAUAGGUGCACUAACCUCAAGUGGCA